UAAAACCGAAAUAACCCGAACCAACCCAUAUAAGAAUUUUUUUCUUAAAAAAUAAUUGUAGAAUGAAACCCUAAAUCUAAACUCAGCCGCUCAAAUCUCUUUCUUCUAUCCCUUAGACUCACACACCUCUCUCUCUCUCGCUUUUCCUAAAUCGUGACGACGUCCUUCUCCGGUGAACGACGUCCUUCUCCUCUCUUCGUCAUCUGUGGUGGUUGUUGGUGGAGUAGCUUUUCUAGCAGCAACAUUCGGCUUUGGUUCGCGACAAGCCACAAGUCUUCUAUAGCAUGAGGCAUUACUUUGCUAGAAAAUUGGCUGAAGAAUUUUAGAGUCUUGGGGAAAUAAUUUACAACAGAAUUGUUAGUUUCU
This is a long non-coding RNA of Cannabis sativa, 366 nucleotides long. RefSeq lists it as uncharacterized. Lineage: Eukaryota; Viridiplantae; Streptophyta; Magnoliopsida; Rosales; Cannabaceae. The record is from RefSeq and is a predicted model, not a curated record. The transcript has 3 exons.